RNAcentral lists this ribosomal RNA (217 nucleotides) under Lagodon rhomboides. RNAcentral's name for it is "partial 16S ribosomal RNA". Lineage: Eukaryota; Metazoa; Chordata; Actinopteri; Spariformes; Sparidae. The record is from RNAcentral.
AAGACGCCAGAGCAGCUCAUGUUAAACACCCCUAGAUAAAGGAUAAAACCAAAUGAACCCUGCCCUAGUGUCUUUGGUUGGGGCGACCGCGGGGAAAUAUAAAACCCCCAUGUGGAACAGGAACACUAUGUUCCUAAAUCCAAGAGCUCCCGCUCUAAUAAACAGAAUUUCUGACCAACUAGAUCCGGCAAUGCCGAUCAACGGACCGAGUUACCCU